Molecule: long non-coding RNA, 350 nt
Organism: Arabidopsis lyrata subsp. lyrata
Lineage: Eukaryota; Viridiplantae; Streptophyta; Magnoliopsida; Brassicales; Brassicaceae
Exons: 2
Source: RefSeq, a predicted model, not a curated record
CUGUCGUUUACGCGUUUCUCUCUCUCUCCACGACGAACAUCACAGACAAGGAGGAGGAGACUAGGAAGAUCGAUUUUAUCAAUCUCGAUUGAAAAAAAUGUUUCGGAGAAUUUCCGGUUGUUGGAGGAGCUUGAACGUGGGGAGAAAGGUAUUGGGGAUAGAACUGUGAGCUAUGGAAUGGAUAAUGGAGAUGAUAUCUAUAUGCGUUCUUGGACUGGCACCACCAUUGGUCCUCACAACGUAGUUAUAUCUUUUUCUUUAUCUACUUUUGUCCUCAUAUCUGCAACUUAACUAUGUUAGCAAUUGUUUUAAGAAGCAUUGAUUAAAGUUCUAAGUUAUCUUCAUUACUA